This 70-nucleotide transfer RNA is filed under the name Dipodomys ordii (Ord's kangaroo rat). It matches the Rfam family "tRNA". From Rfam's summary of the family: Transfer RNA (tRNA) molecules are approximately 80 nucleotides in length. Their secondary structure includes four short double-helical elements and three loops (D, anti-codon, and T loops). Lineage: Eukaryota; Metazoa; Chordata; Mammalia; Rodentia; Heteromyidae. The record is from Rfam by way of RNAcentral.
GGGAAGGUGGCUCAGUGGUAGAGUGCUUGCCUUGCAUGCAUGAGGCCCUAGGUUCAAUUCCUCCGCACCA